Ciona intestinalis (vase tunicate) is the source of this 717-nucleotide non-coding RNA. The record is from RefSeq and is a predicted model, not a curated record. NCBI's taxonomy places the organism in Eukaryota, Metazoa, Chordata, Ascidiacea, Phlebobranchia, Cionidae.
UUGUUGUAGUCGUUGUUGUUGGAGUAGUGUUUACUGGAGUAGUUGUUGUAGUAGUUGUUGCUUUUUAUAAUAGAAAUGUUAGAAAACUUCUACGUAUGUAGUUAGCUAUUGAUGGUAUUAAAGUGGUAAAAAUACUAAAUAAUUAACACUAUAGGCGCCAAACUUUUUAAAAGGCAGGGGAGGUAGGGAUAGCUAGACACCCAAUCCUGUGAAACAAAUCUGCCUUUUUGUCUGAAUAAUGCAGUGCUACACAUUCCUGUGUAAUUACACUGCCACCUCAGUUUUGCAGGUACUUAAAAAGGCUUACAUUCUGUGGGGUAUAUGUCUUCAGGUGUACAUUUUCCACACUGUUUUCUGCAGCCUUGUUGAGCAAGCCUGCUCUGUAGGCAUUGUAUACUAGUGGGGGAAAAUCGUUGGCAAAUACGGCCUCUGGCGUCUUCACACACUUUAGGCCCUUCAGGUUCUUACCGGUCUGUGCAAACCCCACAAGUAUUUGGACAUGUAGCUCUAUAAUAUGAACCAUAGGUUGAAUGGUUACAAAGACUUUCAACACAAUGCGGAAUUGUAUCAACACAAUCUGCAACUACAAAAGUGUUCUUACCGGAUGAGAAAAUGUCCAGGUAAGUCGAAUUUAAACUAAAACAUUGGUUAUGCUGCUAUGCACAGUUGUAAUAAACACCUACACAUGCAUUGGCUUAAACCGCGGCUAUCUCAAAC